AUGGGAAAUAAGCAAGACGAACUCCAACUCCUAGCACAGCACCACACAUACGAUGUCAUAGGCAUCACUGAAACCUGGUGGGAUGACUCCCAUCACUGGAAUUUAACCAUUGAGGGCUAUAACCUCUUUCACAGAAAUAGAACAAAGGGGAAAGGAGGGGGAGUAGCUUUAUAUGUCAAAAACAGUUACGUUGCAGAAGAAAUGCAAGACUGUAAUCCGGGAAACCAGCUUGAAAUCAUCUGGAUAAGAAUCAAGGGAACCGGGACUCAAAAAGAUCUUGUCGUGGGUGUCUACUACAGACCUCCGAGUCAGGAUGAAGGACUUGAUGAAGCCUUCUGUCAACAGCUAACCAAACAGGCACAAAGAAGAGAUAUAGUAGUCAUGGGCGAUUUCAAUUAUCCCGAUAUCUGCUGGAAAACAAACUCAGCCAAGAGUACAAAGUCCAACAAAUUCCUCACUUGCCUUGCAGACAAUUUUAUGGUCCAGAAGGUAGAAGAGGCAACAAGGGGAUCAGCAACUCUUGAUCUAAUCUUAACAAAUGUGGAAGACCUGAUCAAUACAGUUGAAGUGGUUGGAUCCUUAGGGGCAAGUGACCAUGUGCUCCUGCAGUUUGCAAUACAAAGGAAUGCUGAAACUAAGACAAGUCAAACACGCAUUCUGGACUUUAAGAGAGCUGACUUCCAAAAAAUGAAGGAAUUACUGAGCGGCAUUCCAUGGACGCCGAUAUUAAAAAACAAGGGAGUUAAGGAUGGAUGGGAGUUUUUCAAAAGUGAAAUACUCAAGGCGCAAAUGCAAACAGUGCCAACAAAGAAGAAAAAUAAGACAAGUGCAAAGAAGCCAGAAUGGAUGUCCAAAGAACUUCUAACUGAGCUAAAGCUCAAAAGUGACAUGCACAAGAAGUGGAAAAGGGGAGAAAUCACCAAAGAAGAAUUCAAACGUAUAGCCAACACCUGUAGGGAAAAGGUUCGCAAGGCUAAAGCGCAAAAUGAGCUCAGGCUUGCCAGGGACAUAAAAAACAACAAAAAAGGCUUUUUUGCUUACGUUGGUAGAAAAGGGAAGAAAAAGGAGGCGAUAGGGCCACUGCAAGGAGAAGAUGGGGUGAUGGUGACAGGGGAUAGGGAAAAGGCAGAACUGCUUAAUGCCUUCUUUGCCUCGGUCUUCUCACAAAAAGAAAGCCAUCUUCAACCUCAGCAACAUGGAAUGGACAAAGGAUUGGGGGAAAUCCAACCCCAAAUAGGGAAACAAGUUGUCCAGGAACACCUGGCCACUCUAAAAGAAUUCAAGUCCCCAGGGCUAGAUCAGCUACAUCCAAGAGUACUGAAGGAACUAGCGGAAGUUAUUUCAGAACCACUGACAAUCAUCUUCUAG
RNAcentral lists this long non-coding RNA (1368 nucleotides) under Anolis carolinensis (green anole). RNAcentral's name for it is "lncRNA (ENSACAG00000035643.1)". Lineage: Eukaryota; Metazoa; Chordata; Lepidosauria; Squamata; Anolidae. The record is from RNAcentral.